This 305-nucleotide unclassified non-coding RNA is filed under the name Hevea brasiliensis (rubber tree). Lineage: Eukaryota; Viridiplantae; Streptophyta; Magnoliopsida; Malpighiales; Euphorbiaceae. The record is from RNAcentral.
GAGAUUAAUUUUAAAAGGUUUCAGUACUUCAUAGGUGUCUUAUGACAUUAAUAAUUGUUAUACAUUCACAUUCCCAAGAUUAUUCAAGUAGCCUUAGCUACAUCGCUUCAUUGUCAUCAUAUAUAACCUCCUUCCUUCCAAUGGCCUCAGUUCUUACUUUCAUAAAAUAACAAUAUUAAUUUUGGAAUCCAUUAUACCAAAAUUAAUUGGGUAAUGACCUUUUAAUGUACCACAAGAAGAAUGCCAAAAGGCUCUGAUGCUAAUUGAAGACUGAUCAACUAAUUCAAGCCAGGUUUCUAUGGUUU